GGCAGGACAGGAAUAAAGCAAGUGGCUCAAAAAGUUCUUGUGUAUUAAUUUCAGGUAUAUUUAUUUGCAGGAAUUGCCCUCUUUUAAUUUUUAUUUUUGGAGUGCAAAAAUCAGACAAUAACAUUACAAAAUGCUCUUAAACAUUAGCACUUUUUUCGUAAAUAACUGAGAGCUAUUAUUAUUGCUAAACUCAGGAUUGCUACUAUAGCCAAACAUAAACCCUGACUUUUUGACAGCCAAAGCAAAGAAUAAAAUAAGAAUGAAAAACUAGUCACUCAUCUGUGUUUAUGAUAUUAAAGUUAAAGGAAGCCUGUUAGUUAAUCAGGAGGGCACAUUUCUGUUUUUCUAGCUUGAGUAAUCUAACAUUACUUUAACAAAGGCUUAUUUACUAGACGGGACAUUAAAAGGAAAAAUGAGCAGUAUCUUUAAAAGUAGUUUUACAAAAAUUGCAGAAAUAUCUUCCUGUAGAUACAGUAAAUUCUUAUAUUGUUCCCAAUAAGCACCAAGAGCAGUGUGCAAAAGCCUAGUGAUCACAGGUAAUGGGACCGAGUAGUGACUACGUCCAGCACUACAAUAAGUGCUUUGCCUGCUUUGACUCAUUUGAUAUUUACAAAUAACUUAUGAUGUAAAGGUAGGAUUCAAAUGCAGGAAGUAUGCUCUGGAGCCCAUGUCUUGGGCAUUGCUACUAGAUGCUAAGGUGACCUAUGGAAUUCAAAUGCGUCACUUCCUGGUGCUGGGACUUGCUGCAGGGUCAGAAAUUAUUGAUGCUAGAGAAGUAAAUUGUUAGCACACACUACAGAUUCUUUUUCUAGAUUCUAGAAUUUCGAUGCUCUCAAAUACUUUUGUGAGAGUAGGCGCUAGCUGAAAAUUCAAGGGUAAACUUUCUGGUAUUCACCUAAAUUGCGUGUUUAAUUGGAUUUUCAAUUUAGAGUCAGAAGGCAUUGGUUCUGACUUUGGAAGACUUCUAGAGGCUCUUGAAGAGGGGCGUGUGUGUCAAGAAGGCUGUUUGGACAUCACACAGCUCUUAUGAAAGAGGGCUUUCCUAAAUUAAGUGUAAAUGAGGUAGAAACAUAAGGAUUACAUUUCUUUUGAAAGCAAGGAUUUAAAAAAGCAGAACAAUUAGUGCGGGAAGGGAUAUAUGCUACCCCAUAUGACUGGGUCAUGUCCCACUCCCGAGACAAAGUCUAUUUGAGUUCUCUUUUAGCUGUGGCAGAGGGAAGGCCUGCCAGGCUAAGUGAAAUUCCAGGACACAAAGCUGAUGAAAGUAGCAAAAGAGAAUCAUGAGCAAUAAAAUGAAAUUGUAAAAAUUUGGUAGGAAGCCUUAAGUGUCGUUAGAUAUCUACCUGCUAUGAAUGGAGUAAAGCUAUAUAAAUUGUGGGUGUGGGAACAGCCCUCUGGUUUCUGGCUGUUUUGGUGGUUGAAUGCCAACUCUGAGAAAAGCAGGCUAAGGUGGAAAGGGCAACUCUCCUCCUUAAAUAUCCCAAAUCCUCUUCCUUUGCUGUAGCACAUGGAAAAAUGUUCACAUUAUGCUGAACUACUUUUCUGUUUAUCCUCCAAAUUAGCUGUGAAUUCUUUCCUUCCAACUUUAAGUCUUCCUAGGCCUCUCAGUUCCGCUUGUCUUCUUGGAUUAGAUUCUCUUCAAGGCCAGGACCCCUGGAAUCUUAGCUUUAUUUCCGAGGUAAUUUCUGCCGGAAGGCAAAGUUUGGCACGUCAGCUUUUAAUAUACGCUGUGGCAGUUGGUGGAGGCAGGGAGGAGGGAAAGGGAGAGGAAGAAGAACACAAUUCUGCUAGCCUUGGAAAUUCAACUGGAACUUAUGUUAGUUACAUUUUUGAAACUUAUUUAUUAUCCAGACAUAUGACAAACUCCAGUGAAGCACUAAGACUUCAUACAGUAAACUUUGGAAGACGACCAAAACUCAAAAAACCCUCUUCAGCAGCAGGGACUCCAGAAUGUUCCCCUGAGACUUUGAGGCUUUUUCAGACAUUGAGCCGAGUUUGCAUCCGAGUCUGGAGUUGGUUUACAAGCAUACUGGAAAUAAAACUCAAUUGGGAGUGAGAAUCCAGGUGAACCGAAGUAAACGUGAACUCUUUGUGAACCAAAUACUACUGUACGCCUCUUCAAAGCCUACAGGCGCCUGAAAAUCUCCCAUAAAUCCAAGCUGCAUUGAAAGGAUUUGCUCCAAGCCUUCUACCAGUAGCUUGCAUCCACAUGCAUCAGAUUCAGCUGUCUCCUAAAUCUGCAAAGUGUUAUCUGCCUCACCGUGCACAAACUACUGUCCCAAACUGUAUUCAAUCCAGAUGGGAGGUUUUAUCACUUCCUGACUUCCCUUCCAUUGUAAGGAUGAAUAUUUUGAAACCAGGCAACUAGGAAAACCAUACCCCACUAAAUGGGAGCAUAUACUAUUUAGGGAAAACUUUCUAAUUGUCCCCCAGAAAAUGAAGAAAUUAUGCUCUUCUUGUACCCUGAUUGUACAAAAUGUUCAGCUCCCUGGGAUAUGCACCAGAUCACAUUCACAAGAGAACCUACCAUGGGUGUGUCCAGCGUCACGCACAAUUCUCAGUGAAACAGCUUAAUCUCCACACUUUUCUGUCUCACAAGCAAAUUAGGAUGCAAGUGAGGUUGAAAUUAUCACAGGAAUACAUGUUAUCCUAUUUUAAAAAAUAAUUUUCAAAUGCUGGCACUUCACUAUUAAUAACAACAAUUUACUUGUGACAGCUGAUAAGACACAUUGAUAUUUCAAUCCUGAUUCACUCAGACCACCACCACUCCUAUAAGUACCUCCAAUCAGGGAACUUGUCAAUCAUAAAGUGGAAGUUGGUUUAUGUUCUAUUUCCUCCUCAGGGACAGGGCCCAAGUCUUGAUCAUCACUUUACAUAAAUCAGUGCCCAGGCUAUUGCAGGGGUGCAAUAACACUUAUGUAAACCAAGGGAAAGGCACAUAAUAUGCCUAGAAUAUCUCUAGAAGGAUCCUCCAAGAAACUGCUAGCAGUGAUUGUCCCUCAACAGAGAAACUAGGGGUUGAGUGCAAGAAAAAAAUAAUGUGAAGACUGGGGGAAAAACUGCUCCAUGUAGCUUUUGUCCAGGAAGCCUGAUGUGUGUUUCUUAUGGCCUUCCCUCCCCUAUUUAACUUGGAUAAAGAUGGCCUCUUUUGAGAAAAUUCACUCACCAAAGCUCUAAUGCCCGAGCUUAUAAAAGGAGAGCUAUAUCACAAGUGGAAGAUGACAGAAGAAUGUUACUAAGAGCACCAGAGUUUCAAAGCUUCGUCCUUCCUCUGCCAGUCUGGAAUCCAAAUCUGGAGCAACAUGCUUUUGCUUGCAAUGUCUUCUCUUCAAAGUAGGAAAUGAAAUUUUAAAAACAAGUGAACUAAUCAAAGGUGGGAUUUACUUGUCUGCUUUCAAACUAACAGAUAAUAAUGAUUCCUUCCCUCAGACGGCAUUUGAAAAAUUGCAUACAAUUAAAAAGACCAUGUAUUUACCACUUUUGUACUUUAUCUAAUAGUUAAUGCCAAAAGGUAUUAGAUCUGAUAACAAUGACUAUUACUGUACUAUUUUGUAAUAUUCACUGCACAUUCAGUAUUUUACUAGUUGGAAAUAUUAAUAGUAUUAAUAGUAUUAAAAGCAUGGUUCCUACCUUGAUGGAGUUCACCUGAUUGGAGAAAAAAGGUAUUAUUUGCUGGUAGAUGUGUGAUUAUUUACAAUGACUCAUAUUACUCAUAUUCUCUAUUCUGAGCUCUGCCACCCUACUCUAGGUAGCCCUAAGCAAAUUAUUUAAAUCUCCCCAAUGCCUCAGUUUUCUCAUCUGUAAAAUAGAACUUUGGGAGGUAAUGAGGGUUAAAUGAGGUCUUGAGAGUGGGCCCCUGGUCCUAUGGGAUUACUGCCCUUAUAAGAAGAGACACUACUCUCUUUACUUGCGCAUACACCAAGGAAAGGCCACGCGUGCACACAGUGGCCUUCCUCAGCUAUUCAGUGAGAAUUAAUUAAUGUUUGAGAUCUUCAGAUAAAAAGACUCUCUGGAUGUGCAGAGGGCUAUUACACAAACAAUAAAACUGCAUUUAUACACCACUUGGCAUGAUUCAUACAAAAAGAAACAAAUUCCUGCAAGCUCUGCGUUCUGUCAAGACCAGGAUAUACAUCUGUCCAUUGGUGGUGUUAAGCCUUAGACUCUGUCCAACAGAAAUAUAACAUAACUCACAUAUGUAAUCUUAAAUUUUCAAGUUACCAAAUUAAAAAAGGAACA
This is a long non-coding RNA of Homo sapiens (human), 4236 nucleotides long. RefSeq lists it as uncharacterized. The transcript is spliced from 3 exons. Lineage: Eukaryota; Metazoa; Chordata; Mammalia; Primates; Hominidae. The record is from RefSeq and is a predicted model, not a curated record.